Molecule: ribosomal RNA, 438 nt
Filed under: uncultured bacterium
Lineage: Bacteria
Description: bacterial SSU rRNA
Rfam family: Bacterial small subunit ribosomal RNA
Source: RNAcentral
AUACGGGAGGCAGCAGUGGGGAAUAUUGGACAAUGGGCGCAAGCCUGAUCCAGCCAUGCCGCGUGGAUGAUGAAGGCCCUAGGGUUGUAAAGUCCUUUUAACGGGGAAGAUAAUGACGGUACCCGUAGAAUAAGCCCCGGCUAACUUCGUGCCAGCAGCCGCGGUAAUACGAAGGGGGCUAGCGUUGCUCGGAAUUACUGGGCGUAAAGCGCACGUAGGCGGCUUCUUAAGUCGGUGGUGAAAUCCUGGAGCUCAACUCCAGAACUGCCUUCGAUACUGGGAAGCUCGAGUUCGGGAGAGGUGAGUGGAACUGCGAGUGUAGAGGUGAAAUUCGUAGAUAUUCGCAAGAACACCAGUGGCGAAGGCGGCUCACUGGCCCGAUACUGACGCUGAGGUGCGAAAGCGUGGGGAGCAAACAGGAUUAGAUACCCCGGUAGC